This 253-nucleotide ribosomal RNA is filed under the name uncultured bacterium. RNAcentral's name for it is "partial 16S ribosomal RNA". It matches the Rfam family "Bacterial small subunit ribosomal RNA", at positions 524 to 776 of the family's 1533-position model. The record is from RNAcentral.
UACGGAGGGAGCUAGCGUUGUUCGGAAUUACUGGGCGUAAAGCGCACGUAGGCGGCUUUGUAAGUUAGAGGUGAAAGCCUGGGGCUCAACCCCAGAAUUGCCUUUAAGACUGCAUCGCUUGAAUCCGGGAGAGGUGAGUGGAAUUCCGAGUGUAGAGGUGAAAUUCGUAGAUAUUCGGAAGAACACCAGUGGCGAAGGCGGGUCUCUGGGCCGAUACUGACGCUGAGAGACGAAAGCUAGGGGAGCAAAUGGG